AAAGCUUUAAGUUAAUUAAUCAAACUAUUAACCUUCAAAGUUAAAAAUAUGUCAAGCAUAAGCUUUA
RNAcentral lists this transfer RNA (67 nucleotides) under Dysdercus decussatus. RNAcentral's name for it is "tRNA-Trp". Lineage: Eukaryota; Metazoa; Arthropoda; Insecta; Hemiptera; Pyrrhocoridae. The record is from RNAcentral.